RNAcentral lists this ribosomal RNA (1257 nucleotides) under Triticum aestivum (bread wheat). RNAcentral describes it as "partial small subunit ribosomal RNA". The record is from RNAcentral. Lineage: Eukaryota; Viridiplantae; Streptophyta; Magnoliopsida; Poales; Poaceae.
AUGCAUCGGCUGACCUGCGGCUGCAAGUUCGCCGACCCCGACACGGUCGUCCCCUCCGCGGCGGCGGCGUCGCAUCGCGUGCGGCCGGACACCAUGAGCUGCGGCAGCGACGGGUGCAGGGACGGCGGCAGCGGCGGCGGCAGCGAGGGGUUCGGGCGGUCGCGGCCGAGCAAGGUCGCGGCCGACGACUCGGUGGAGCCCGCGCGGUGCUCGGACGCCACCUCGCCGCCGGGGUCCUGGAUUGACAGGAAGCUGCUGGUCGAUCCCAAGAUGCUGUUCGUCGGAUCCAAGAUUGGGGAGGGCGCCCACGGGAAGGUCUACAAGGGGAAGUAUGGUGAUCAGAUUGUAGCCAUAAAAGUUCUCAACAGUGGCAGUACCCCCGAAGAAAAAGUAACACUUGAAGAUCGCUUCAUCCGAGAAGUAAAUAUGAUGUGUAAAGUGAAACAUGAUAAUCUUGUCAAGUUCAUUGGAGCCUGCAAGGAACCAUUGAUGGUGAUUGUGAGUGAGCUGCUACCAGGGAUGUCGCUGAAAAAUUACUUGAACAGCAUCCGGCCCAGCCAACUAGAUAUCCAUACUGCAUUAGGCUAUGCACUCAACAUAGCUCGUGCAAUGGAAUGUUUACAUGCCAAUGGAAUAAUACACAGAGACCUGAAACCUGAUAAUUUGUUGCUUACUGCAAACCGUAAGAAGCUGAAGCUUACUGAUUUUGGACUUGCACGAGAGGAAACUGUGACUGAAAUGAUGACGGCUGAAACUGGGACAUACCGAUGGAUGGCCCCAGAGUUAUACAGCACUGUCACACUUCAACGUGGCGAAAAAAAGCACUACACAAAUAAGGUGGAUGUUUACAGCUUUGGCAUCGUCCUCUGGGAGUUGCUGACCAAUAAAAUGCCAUUCGAAGGCAUGUCGAAUCUACAAGCUGCAUAUGCUGCUGCUUUUAAACAAGUACGCCCAGCUUUCCCUGAGGACACCCCCCAGGAGCUCGCGUCCAUCGUGCAGUCAUGCUGGGUCGAGGACCCCGCGAUGCGUCCCAGCUUCAGCCAGAUCAUCCGCAUGCUGGACGCCUUCCUCCUGACGAUCCCUCCACCACCCCCUUCGGAGGCAGACGAGGACACGGCGGAGUCGGAAGACACAGCGUCGUCGCUGAGCAGCAAGAGCUCCUCGGUCUCCUCCAUCGUUUCCCGCGCGACAAGCAAGCUCUCGGUCGUCCGCCAUCUGUUUGCCUCGAAGAAGGGAGGCAGCAAUGGGAAGGCAUGA